UCUCCGUUGGUGAACCAGCGGAGGGAUCAUUACAGGACUCGCAAGACUCCUACAACCCUGUGAACUUAACUAUAAGCACGUUGCUUCGGCGGGUGUCUCGUAGGGGGUUCUCCCUCCCCGAGACGCUAAACCCGCCGGCAGCCUACUAUACUCUGUCUCUUUGCGUUGGCAUCUCGAGUACAAUCAAACAAGUUAAAACUUUCAACAACGGAUCUCUUGGUUCUG
Molecule: unclassified non-coding RNA, 225 nt
Filed under: plant metagenome
Description: partial contains small subunit ribosomal RNA, internal transcribed spacer 1, and 5.8S ribosomal RNA
Source: RNAcentral